This is a long non-coding RNA of Eriocheir sinensis (Chinese mitten crab), 1275 nucleotides long. RefSeq lists it as uncharacterized. The transcript is spliced from 3 exons. The record is from RefSeq and is a predicted model, not a curated record. NCBI's taxonomy places the organism in Eukaryota, Metazoa, Arthropoda, Malacostraca, Decapoda, Varunidae.
AGGAGGCAAGGUAUAUUCUGUGCCAGGACACCUAAGUUGUUGGGGUAACGACAGCUUGCGUAAUACCAGAAAAGGAGGAGGCAAGGUUUAUUAUAUGCCAGGACAGCGAGGUUAUUCAGUGGCUUGCAUAAUAUUAGUAGAGGGAAGGCAAGCUUUAUUACAUGCCAGGACAGCGAGGUUAUUCAGUGGCUUGCAUAAUAUUAGUAGAGAGGAAGGCAAGCUUUAUUACAUGCCAGGACAGCGAGGUUAUUCAGUGGCUUGCAUAAUAUUAGUAGAGGGAAGGCAAGCUUUAUUACAUGCCAGGACAGCGAGGUUAUUCAGUGGCUUGCAUAAUAUUAGUAGAGGGAAGGCAAGCUUUAUUACAUGCCAGGACAGCGAGGUUAUUCAGUGGCUUGCAUAAUAUUAGUAGAGGGAAGGCAAGCUUUAUUACAUGCCAGGACAGCGAGGUUAUUCAGUGGCUUGCAUAAUAUUAGUAGAGGGAAGGCAAGCUUUAUUACAUGCCAGGACAGCGAGGUUAUUCAGUGGCUUGCAUAAUAUUAGUAGAGGGAAGGCAAGCUUUAUUACAUGCCAGGACAGCGAGGUUAUUCAGUGGCUUGCAUAAUAUUAGUAGAGGGAAGGCAAGCUUUAUUACAUGCCAGGACAGCGAGGUUAUUCAGUGGCUUGCAUAAUAUUAGUAGAGGGGAAGGCAAGCUUUAUUACAUGCCAGGACAGCGAGGUUAUUCAGUGGCUUGCAUAAUAUUAGUAGAGGGGAAGGCAAGCUUUAUUACAUGCCAGGACAGCGAGGUUAUUCAGUGGCUUGCAUAAUAUUAGUAGAGGGAAGGCAAGCUUUAUUACAUGCCAGGACAGCGAGGUUAUUCAGUGGCUUGCAUAAUAUUAGUAGAGGGAAGGCAAGCUUUAUUACAUGCCAGGACAGCGAGGUUAUUCAGUGGCUUGCAUAAUAUUAGUAGAGGGGAAGGCAAGCUUUACUACAUGCCAGGACAGCGAGGUUAUUCAGUGGCUUGCAUAAUAUUAGUAGAGAGGAAGGCAAGCUUUACUACAUGCCGGAACAGCAAAGGUAUGAAGGCAGGGGCUUGAAUAAUACUAGUAAAGGAGGAUUCCGAGUUAUAUAAUAGUGGAGGGACGAGCUCACCUUUGUCAGGAAAACUAAAUUAGAAAGCGAGCGGCUGGUAUUUCAAUAACAAUAGUAGGAUACAAGCUUACUAUCAUAUCCCUCCACUCAUUGCCACUUUUCUAAACUUUUAUAGGGGCAGUGAUUUGCAGACUUUUAAUUUUUUU